RNAcentral lists this ribosomal RNA (484 nucleotides) under uncultured bacterium. RNAcentral's name for it is "partial 16S ribosomal RNA". It matches the Rfam family "Bacterial small subunit ribosomal RNA", at positions 30 to 507 of the family's 1533-position model. The record is from RNAcentral.
AUUGAACGCUGGCGGCAUGCCUUACACAUGCAAGUCGAACGGCAGCGCGGGAGCAAUCCUGGCGGCGAGUGGCGAACGGGUGAGUAAUACAUCGGAACGUGCCCAAUCGUGGGGGAUAACGCAGCGAAAGCUGUGCUAAUACCGCAUACGAUCUACGGAUGAAAGCAGGGGAUCGCAAGACCUUGCGCGAAUGGAGCGGCCGAUGGCAGAUUAGGUAGUUGGUGAGGUAAAGGCUCACCAAGCCUUCGAUCUGUAGCUGGUCUGAGAGGACGACCAGCCACACUGGGACUGAGACACGGCCCAGACUCCUACGGGAGGCAGCAGUGGGGAAUUUUGGACAAUGGGCGAAAGCCUGAUCCAGCCAUGCCGCGUGAAGGAUGAAGGCCUUCGGGUUGUAAACUGCUUUUGUACGGAACGAAACGGUCUUUUCUAAUAAAGAAGGCUAAUGACGGUACCGUAAGAAUAAGCACCGGCUAACUACGUG